This 350-nucleotide ribosomal RNA is filed under the name Monacha ocellata. Its description in RNAcentral is "partial small subunit ribosomal RNA". Lineage: Eukaryota; Metazoa; Mollusca; Gastropoda; Stylommatophora; Hygromiidae. The record is from RNAcentral.
CAUAAUCAAUUGGCUUAUAAUUGAAGUCUAGUAUGAAAGGGACUUCGGGAAUUAACUAUCUUUAAAAUAUAUAUAGAACUUACUAUAUUAAGUGAAAAUUCUUAAGUUUGAAAAAAGACGAGAAGACCCUAGAAAUUUUUUUCAACUGUACAUAUAGAAUUUUGUUGGGGCGACAGGGUAACAAAUAACUUACCUAAUGAAUAUGGAACUAUUUAGUAGAAUAAUAAAAUUACUCUAGGGAUAACAGCAUAAUAUUAUAAAGAUUGUGACCUCGAUGUUGGACUAGGGAAUAUAAUACUUAAAAGGUACUAUAUGCGGCUCUGUUCGAGCUAUUUUCCCCUACAUGAUCU